RNAcentral lists this long non-coding RNA (1447 nucleotides) under Drosophila guanche. Lineage: Eukaryota; Metazoa; Arthropoda; Insecta; Diptera; Drosophilidae. The record is from RNAcentral.
GAAAUUUAUGAAACUUAAAGAUUUUUAACGCAGUUUGGCUGAAUGAAACGGUGCCCAUUCGAAUCGAUUCGUAAACAGGGGGGAUUCGUGGCUACAAUAAACAUUUACAAGCAGUUUUAUUUCCCCAGUUCGGACAAAGUGUUUACCUAUUUAAAAGGCGGGCGUUCUCUGUGUUAAGUUUGAACAGUCACUCGGAAGCGUUUCAGCCAUGCCCCCAAUUCAAAAUAGAGAUCAAUGGAUUUUCGGAUAACUGCUGCCCCCUGCUCCAAUAAAGAUAUACAAAAUUUUUUUUUUUUUUUUUUGAGGUUUUAAGUUACCGCUCUACCCUUAGGUAGAGGGGAAUUAUUUGGCCACCCGCCUUUCAAGGGGGAAAUCGCCACGUCGUAAUAUGUAACUUGUUACAGGUUUGCUCCAAUACUUACCUGGCGUAGAGGUUAUGUUCCCCACGUGCUUUAACCUUUUUUAUAUAUACAAAAUUAAUUCUUUAAACAUAUCGGUGUGGAGGAGACCAUAAAGGAGACCCUAAGACUGAAGGUUCGCUUGCGACAGCUGGUGGCUAAUAUCUCCGCCUUUUUUAAGUAAAAAAUUUUUCCUCUUGCAGAUUGGCAUCAAAUGGAGGCUGUAAUCAUGGGGAGAGAUGAAAUUCCUUCACGUCCAGAAUGCAGGGCCAAGGCAAUGCCACAGCCCCAAGCUGGCAAUGUGCAUCACAAGUAAAUGACAACGCUUCGAUGCUGCCAAAUAAACGUCCUGAUCUCCUUUUAGGAUAUUUUUGCGUGGAGCUCGUUGGUGUCGCUGCCAUUUAAUGUGGAAUGGCGCAGCUCAUCCUCUGCGCUAUCGUCGGCAGAGCCCAGGUCCUCCUUAUUAAUGGUGGCUACCACCGUUGGGUGCGACAUUUUCUGGCUUAAAGUUGGCCAGAGACGAGUUUCAGAAACAAGGGCGAUAUCCACCUGGAAGGAGUACAAAGUGGAAACCUUGAAAGUGAUUAAGAGUUUCUAGAGAAUACCAUUGCUUCCUAAUGCUUUGUGUGUGAUGGCCCGUGUUGACAAUAAAUAUCCACGCUCUUCGUGGGCGGGAUGGGGCACGUUAAUGUUAUAAUUGUCGAUUAUGAUUCAAUUUAAUUCAAUAAAUUAUUUUUAUUUUUAAACCAGACAGAUUAGAAAGUACGGGGGGGCCUUGACCAGGACUGUAGCUACCCUAGUAAACAGUGUACGCAUUUUACGUUGCGCCACCACCCACCACGGCUUGUGGUUGAGACGAGGUUUUGGGGCAAUCGCUUUCGUUUCACCGGCAGUGGCUUUUGGCGGGGGUAUUCUGGACUGUGGAUCCUCCGCCAACGCCUCCUCGCCACUGUUGCGAUGUAAAUCCAACCACUCAUCGGAGCUCAGAGGCAGCACCUCAGUGCCAUUGAGACCGGCAGAGGCGCGAUCCAUCCACAUAAGAAUGUUAC